AACGUAGGAGACAAACGUUAUCCGGAGUUACUGGGCGUAAAGGGCGUGUAGGCGGUCUGUUAAGUCUGGCGUGAAAGCUCUCGGCUAAACCGGGAGAGGUCGUUGGAUACUGGCAGACUAGAGGACGGUAGAGGCGUGUGGAAUUCCGGGUGUAGUGGUGAAAUGCGUAGAGAUCCGGAGGAACACCAGUGGCGAAGGCGACACGCUGGGCCGUACCUGACGCUAAAGCGCGAAAGCUAGGGGAGCAAACAGG
Molecule: ribosomal RNA, 253 nt
Filed under: uncultured bacterium
Lineage: Bacteria
Description: partial 16S ribosomal RNA
Rfam family: Bacterial small subunit ribosomal RNA
Source: RNAcentral